GACGAACCGUGCGAACGUUGUUCGGAAUCACUGGGCUUAAAGGGCGCGUAGGCGGGUGUGCAAGUCUGUGGUGAAAGCCUCCAGCUUAACUGGAGAAGUGCCAUGGAUACUGCACAUCUUGAGGAGGGUAGGGGCAUCUGGAACGGUCGGUGGGGCGGUGAAAUGCGUUGAUAUCGACCGGAACUCCGGUGGCGAAGGCGAGGUGCUGGACCCUUUCUGACGCUGAGGCGCGAAAGCCAGGGGAGCAAACGGG
Molecule: ribosomal RNA, 253 nt
Filed under: uncultured bacterium
Lineage: Bacteria
Description: partial 16S ribosomal RNA
Rfam family: Bacterial small subunit ribosomal RNA
Source: RNAcentral